Molecule: ribosomal RNA, 465 nt
Filed under: uncultured bacterium
Lineage: Bacteria
Description: partial 16S ribosomal RNA
Rfam family: Bacterial small subunit ribosomal RNA
Source: RNAcentral
CCUACGGGUGGCAGCAGUGGGGAAUAUUGCGCAAUGGGCGAAAGCCUGACGCAGCGACGCCGCGUGAGGGAUGAAGGUCUUCGGAUCGUAAACCUCUGUCAGCAGGGAAGAACGGUCACUGUGCUAAUCAGCAGUGAAUUGACGGUACCUGCAAAGGAAGCACCGGCUAACUCCGUGCCAGCAGCCGCGGUAAUACGGAGGGUGCGAGCGUUAAUCGGAAUUACUGGGCGGAAAGCGCUCGUAGGCGGUAUGUCAAGUCAAGGGUGAAAUCCCCGCGCUCAACGUGGGAACUGCCUUUGAAACUGGCAAACUGGAGUGUGUGAGAGGAUAGUGGAAUUCCAGGUGUAGGAGUGAAAUGCGUAGAUAUCUGGAGGAACAUCAGUGGCGAAGGCGACUAUCUGGCACAUAACUGACGCUGAGGAGCGAAAGCGUGGGUAGCAAACAGGAUUAGAUACCCGGGUAGUC